This 99-nucleotide ribosomal RNA is filed under the name uncultured bacterium. RNAcentral's name for it is "partial 16S ribosomal RNA". The record is from RNAcentral.
AAGGCUUCGGUUGUAACCUCUUCAGAAGGGACGAAGCUCCUCGGUUAAUAGCCCAGAGGAUGACGGUACCUUCAGAAGAAGCCCCGGCUAACUACGUGC